GCAACGGAUAUCUCGGCUCUUGCAUCGAUGAAGAACGUAGCGAAAUGCGAUACUGGGUGUGAAUUGCAGAAUCCCGUGAACCAUCGAGUCUUUGAACGCAAGUUGCGCCCGAAGCCAUUAGGCCGAGGGCACGCCUGCCUGGGUGUCACACAUCGUUUCCCCAACGCAAACAUGUAACAAUGUUGCUGCGCGGGGUGUAUGCUGACCUCCCGCGAGCACCCGCCUCGUGGUUGGUUGAAAUCUGGGUUCAUGGCCGACUUCGCCGUGAUAAAAUGGUGGAUGAGCCACGCUCGAGACCAAUCACGUGCGAGCCGGUCAGUUCUGGACCCAUCGACGACCCUUUGCGUGCACGCACGCUCCCAACGAGACCUCAGGUCAGGCGGGGCUACCCGCUGAG
This 397-nucleotide ribosomal RNA is filed under the name embryophyte environmental sample. RNAcentral's name for it is "eukaryotic LSU rRNA". The stretch from base 1 to 148 matches the Rfam family "5.8S ribosomal RNA". The record is from RNAcentral. Lineage: Eukaryota; Viridiplantae; Streptophyta.